UGAGGUUAUUACUUUGACAGACUCAAGCUAUAAAGAUCUUCUCAAUAUGGUUUUCGCGCUUUCUGUUCUUCAUAUUUGCAUAAAAAGAGUAGCAUAUUGUCAAUGUUGUUCAGCAGUAUCUUCUACAUCCACCUGGAAAGCUAGAAUUGGUCAAUGCUAAUCACGGAGAUACAACAAAACGAAAAAGAAUAACUUAUCUGUUCUAACAAAUCAAACAAGUCUUCCUCUUGUUUUAAAUUAUCCUAAACAGAUUAUAUUUCUACUGCAACAAUGAAUCAACUGUUGGGAUAAAUUUCUACAUGAGAAAGACCUGUAUGAUAAUUUCCAAUGGAUGAACUAUCUGUUGCAACAUAUAAUUCAUCUUUUGUAGCAGAUAGGUCAUCUGUUGGUACAAAUAAAAGUGGUACAAAAAGCUGUUUGAUUUGUUAAAACAGACGAGACAUAUGUCGCAACAAAUACUUUAUCUGGUGCAACAAGUUAGUGAACUGUUGCAAUAGAUCUAUAUAUCUGUUUGAUAAUUUUCAGCAGAUGUGUCAUCUAUUGAAAUAGAUAUGUCUGUUUGUUAGUUGGAAAAGACAUAUAUAUUUAUCUUCUUCAGCUCGUGCUGCUCUCUUUUGGACAUUGUACAUUGUUCAGUGCAACACAUGGACAGGGGAGUUGCAAUUUUUUUUUUGAUGCUUGAUAAUGACUUGAAAAUCGCUUUCCUUCUUCUCUUAGCCUUAAUCUCUAAUGGAGUAGAUGGAUAUAAAAUCCUCUUUGAUAAAAUGACACUCCUCUUAGAUGUCAAUUCCUUUACAGAAGCAGUUCAUGCAUUAAUAGCAUUAAUCACUACAUCAUAUUUCGCCUUGCAGUUUUGACAUUUGCAUGCAGAACAUUCGCUGGGAGAGGCAAAUUCUGUAUAACAAGUAUAUCACUCCUAAUGGUUUAUUUUAAAUAUUGUAAGAGGAGCAUCAUUAGCACCAACAGUAGCACCAUUACCACCACCAAUAGCUUCAUCUCCACUAAGACCAUCAACAAUAACAAGCCCAACCUCCAAAAUUAUUUUUCUUGUAAUGAUUGUUGCUCCAAAUAAUUCCAUUCUUAUUCUGUCAAUGACCUUAGGGUCCGAUAAAGUUUGCACAGAUCGUAAAGUAAGAAAAAAUGACAUUUUUAACUCUCAAUUAGUCGAAACUAGCGACGGAUGCACAAUCUAACACAAAUCAUUACAUAUAUUAAAAUGAUGAUUAGAUCAUUCAAAAAAAUUAUUAAUUAAAAUAAAAACUUAAUUAUAAUUAUACUUACUGCAUCCUUUCGGGAGUUGAAGAGAUCAAGAAAUUUUGUUUUUUUAUCAGUUUUGACCGACAAUCAUCUCAAGAUUCUUGGACAGAAAACUUCUUCCUCGUAGUUCACUUGUUCUCUCAAAUAAAGAAUGGCUUCAAACACCCAAGUCUAUAAAAUAACGUCAAUAAAUCAAAAUCAUUAUUGUGUAAAAAUGAAUGAUAUCAUAAUAAAAAAAAGAAACAUUUAUCAUGAAAGCCCAUGAAAAACCAUAUAAGUUGACUGUCUUUAGCGCUAACGGAGUCAACAAAUAUUUGACAGUUAUUUUGAAGCUUUCGUAACCCCAAGAAAAGCUAUUAAAUACCUCAAGAUCCUUGGAGAGCUUUAUUAAACCAAUGCUUAUGUUGUUGUUAACGUCUCUCGCCCAAAGAAUAUUAUGUACAAAUCAAACCAAGCACAAUGACUACUUGUGCUUCUCUAAAAGUCCUUUACCUUUCAACGCUUCUAUUAAAUUUUUAUUUUUGAACCAACAAUGGACACCAAGUCAUCACGAUCACACAACUUGCCUUUACCUUUUUUUUGAAUGUGCGGCAUUUUUUUUGGGGUUAGAAUAGGUAUAACUUGAGAAGGAGAAGGAGGAUAACAUUUUAGUCCAGUAACUAUAACAAACUCCUUCCAACCAAAAUAAACAGGCAUGCCACAGUAAUUUAUCCACACCUCAUCCAUCUUAUCUUUGUUUUCAUACAUAAACCUACGUUUGAGAAGUUCAUAUAUCAUUUUCAUUUGGAAACGAGCAUUGUUGUCCUUCAGCAAAUCAAGAUAUUUUCCAAAGCAGUUAUCCCUGAAAUAAGCAUCCAAUUUUUAUUCUCGAAAUAUUUUUCUGAAGGCGUCGAAAGAUUUUCCCAUUACUGAAUUAACCACGAAAUCAUCCGUUAAAUCUGUAGCACUAUCGCACUGCAUUCUCACAGAAUAACGAUCAAUGCUAAAGGUUUUGACCAACUCUUCGAUGGAAAGGCUAUUAGCAUUUGGAUCAUCUCUUUUGAAACAUUCCUCCUCCCCGUGUUCAUCAUAUUCUGCUCCUGAUUGAGAUAACGCUUGUAAAGCAAGCUCAUAGAGUGGUGGAUGUAGCCUAGCUGCUUCACUUGUUUCUUUACUUGGACUUGAUUCGAUUUUUAUUUUUUUGGGAGCCAUAUUAUCUAAAAUUAAUAGGAAAAAUAAAAAAAUAUAUUAUUGUUGAUUAAUGCAUCGUUAAAAAGGGAUAACAGUAAAUCUAACAAGAAAAAUAGUAAAAUAAUAGUUUCAAUAGAUCAUUGAUCUGUUGCACCAGAUAGUAUAUCUGUUGCAACAUGUAAUCAACCUGUUGCAGUGGAUGACUAAUCUGUUAUAAUAAUACGAAAUGUAUCACUCAAUUUUUAAGAUAGAUGAAUGGUCUGUGCAACCGAUCAUACAUCUGUUGCAAUAUAUGAGUGAUCUGUAACCUAUUACAAUGGAUGAGUAAUCUGUUACAAUAAUAUAAAACAUAUCACUCAUCUAUUGAUAUUAAUGAAUGGCCUGUGUAGCAGAUCAUACAUCUGUUGCAACAUCAUCUGUUGCAAUAUAUGAGUGAUCUGUUGGAACAGUUAAAUAACUUGUAGCAACGGCUGAGUAAUCUGUUGUGACAAUACAAAAUAUAUCACUCAUAUGUUAAGAAAGAUGAAUGGUUUGUGCAAUAGAUCACACAUCUGUUGCAACAAAUGAGUGAUUUAUCAGAAUAAUUAACUAACCUGCAAUAACGGUGUUGAGUAAUCUAUUGCAAUAAUACAAAACAUAUCACUCAUCUGUUGAGAAAGAUGAAUGGUCUGUGCAACAGGUCACACAUAUGUUGCAGCAUGAGUGAUCUGUUGGAACAGUUAUCAACUGUCAAUAUUGUUUAGAUUUCUUUCAACAGAAGGGUCGGCUAUCGUGGCAGAUGAAUGAUCAGUUCAAAAAAUCAAGUCUUGGACAUGUGCUGUUGGAAGAGUUGAUAGGAUUUUAUCUAACAGGAGGUUCAUCUGUUGCAUCAGAUCUUUAAUCCGAUGGUUCCUCCGUUGCAUCAGAUGGUUAAUCUAUUACAUCAGAUUUUUAAUUCGAUGGUUCCUCUGUUGCAUCCAAUAGUAGAUUUGUUGCAUCAGAUGGUUAAUCUAUUACAACAUAUGGUUAAUUUAUUGCAAUAUAUGGUUAAUUUGUUGCAACAUAUGGUUAAUUUGUUGCAUCAGAUAGUUAAACUAUUGCAUCAUAUGCUAAAUCUGUUGCAUCAGAUUUUUUAUCUGAUGGUUCCUCUGUUGCAUCAUAAUAUUAAUUUGUUGCAUCAAAUGGUGAAUCAAUUACAUCAGAUGUUUAAUCUGUUAUUGCAUCAGAUAGUUGAUUUGUUGCAUCAUAUGAUAAAUCUAUUGCAUCAGAUGGUUAAUAUGUUGCACCAGAUGGAUAAUCUGUUGAAGAAAAAAAUAGUAGCACGAUUUUGUUCAACAGAAAAACAACAAUAUCACCAUUUUUACCAAGAACAAGAACAAAACGAAUCAACCCAGCAACGGGCGCAACACAAAAAACACCAAAAUCGUUGUUUUGUUUGUAUAAACACAAACAACAAAAAUCAAACUUCAAAAAAAUACAACAAACAACAAAAACUCAUAAUUCACUUCGAAAAGAAAUGAGAAGAAAUACUCGAAAUUAGGAUUUUAUUCAGACCGCAAUUCAAAUUAAAGCAACAAAUAUUGAAAUUGUUAACCAAUACUAUAAGAGAAGUUGGCUUAAGUUCCUCGUUUUCUUUAAAACUAAAAAGGCCAUAAGUUUUUACCUGUGAAAGAAGAAAAAGAACGAUAAAGAAUUCGAAGUUGUUGUGGCCGGAGAGCAAGGUUGUCAUGUCGAUUGAAGAUUGAAGUGGAAAAGGAACUUGAAGCCCAACUAUUUUUCAUUGGAGGUUGAAGUCGCCGGGGAUUGAAAGGAGAAAUUUGCAGAAUUCUUGGUUGAGAGAAGCUAUCGAGAGACAAUCGAUGAUUUGGAUUGAAGAGGGAUGUGGGUUGGUUUGAUUUGUAUUUUUGUAAAGAUUAGAAAGUUUUGAAAAUAUUAAUCAAGUCCACAAUUAACUUGAUCAAGUUUCCUAAUUAUGUUUGACCCUUUAAGUUGGGCAAUGUCACCAAUCCUUCAUUCAGGACUCAAAGACACCUUUUCAUCAAUUUUCUCGAGUAAAUUUAACUUAAUUACCUUUUUGUCUAUAUUUAAUUUUUUAUAGAAAAUUUAUCUAUAAGAGGUCAAUUAGAAACUUUAUCUUAAACUCGCUUAUUUUUUAUUUCAUGACUGUUGAUAUAACUCAUUUUUAUAAUACUCUUGUUUCAUAUUCUAGGUGAAUCCAACAUUAUAUGAGAUACUAAAACUAGGCUUUUCAUAUAUUUUCAGGUAAAAUUGUCCUGCACUUAUGAUGAUUUUUCUAUUCUCCUCUAUUUUCAAUAGUUCAUAUGCGAUACUUUUAUAUGUUUUUAUGUUUCUAGGCUAGUAAAAUUCAUUGUUUCAAUACAUUAUGUCCUGACUUUAUACAAGUGAACUGUAAGAUACCUCUUGAUAUGUCAUACGAGCACACUCUUAAAAAUCUUUCGCAACGUGGAGGGAGGAUAUGACGUAUAUCUUAUACACUUUAGUUUUUUGAGUAACUUUUUUUAUUAUAUCUGAACAAGUAUAGAGAUUGCAAUUGUAGAAGCACAUAAAUACUAACAUUGAUUAUCUUCAAAAUUAAGCAUCUUGUCAAUGAAAUUUUUUGGCUUUUAAUGGAAGAAAAUCAUGAACAAAUUGAUUUUGCGCCUUAGAGGUUUUUUACUGGCUUGCAAAGUUUUACUACAAAUGUUGGGUGGGGUGACGUUGUAUAUAGUCCACCGGCUGUACUUGAACCUCCCACGGGCUCAAACUAUUUUCCCAUUACGAACUCUGGUUAUGAUGUUUAUUGUAAGAGCAUAACAAUUUUGAACAUAAAAAAAAAAAAAAAAAAAAAAAAAUUGAAGUAGAUAGAACAACUACACGUACUGAAAAUCUUAAUAUGCACUGCAUUUCAUUUGAACAACUUUAAUCUGGUUCAAAGUCAUCUUGUUUUGUUGUAUGUGAUGGACCUGUUGAGAGUAGACAAAUCUAAGUAUUGCUAAUUACUACUCUAUUGAGAGUUAUAUUUAAUGUCUAAUAAUCAUACGCGGUACUAUCUAUUUUUAUCCCCAAAAUUUCUCAAUUUAAUUCUUGUAUCCAUCCAAUAUUUAUCCCAACUCAUCUAACCCGUUAAACCCAACUACUAAUAUAAUUUUUCAUCAUCACUUUACCAUCAAAGAAACAUGUAUAUAGAGAAAAAGAAGGCUAGGUCGUCGAGAAAGAGUAAUCUCCCACGAGUCCUAUAAAUUGUAACAAGACAAAACAAUUAGAAGUCUGCAAGAGGAAGCUACAACAACAUUAGAAAUUGCCAUUGUAACAGUCCGAACAUAGAUUUCAUCAGAACUUACGAAAUUUACAAAAAGAAUUCAGUUGACGAUGACAAUGUUUUUUUCAUUAGUAUUAAAUUGAUGAUGGUGAAUGUUCAACUCAAAAUAUAAAAUGACUUAUUAAUCUCAAUUAGUUCAGUACAAAUGAAAAUAGCCAAGAAUAUGCCCAAGAAUAUAACUGCUUGAUGCACGUGUAGCGCACAAUAUGCACGUGUGACGCAUAAAAUGCACGUAAAACACACGUAGAGAUCAAAUAUGACACGUUUAUGUCACUAAAGCCUAUAUAUUUUACUGUGAAAUAUCACACACGUACGUAGAAACAACUUAAGAGCAAUGCAAAAUAUUUAUACCACGAGCAUCCCCAAAGCACAUCACCAAAUGUAUCAAUAUUUUCAAAAUUAUCCCUAUAAAAGACUCCCUUUAAAAAUCUCUUUAAGCUCACAUACUCUUUUCUUCUUAUUCUCUCUUAAACUCUAAACUCACACUUUAAAAAAAAAAAAAAAAACUUACGUUGGAGAAAUUGAUGCGGUUUAUAAUCUACAGAUUAAGGUAUAUGGUACAAUUACUUUAUUAUAAUUAAUGUUAUUAUUAUUAGACUUUAAACGUUUCUCUUCUUUUACAUAUAUAUAUUGCUUAAAAAAAUAGAUUUUCACCGUACUGUUGUUGGUUGAACUAGCACGAAAGACAACUAUUUCUCCCUCAAAACUCCCCAAUCAAUAGCGCUACUAAUCGUUGUAAUUGCUAUUUUUGCAUAUUUUUUUGUAUAAAAUGAUACAAAGAUAUGGCUGGGGAGAUCAAGGGGUCAACCCAGAUCAUGGCAUCGAAUUAUCGGUUAAAUAGUUAUUUACUACUACUAAUAAUUUCAUCUGGUUAUCUCUAAACGAUUUAGUCACCCCCAUCUUUUGGUUGCAGGCACCCUAAGGUGCUCUAAGAGAAGAUCAUCACAGGAUAGAUUAUGGUUGUAUUAUGAUAUCCAUGAAUAGAUUAUGGUACAUAUGUCGUAGUAAUAGUGUGUAAUAUGUAAAAAAUCAGUUUUUGUUUUGAUUAAGUGCAUUUUUUAUGAAAAAAUGUGUUUUGUGGUGGUUGUAUAAUAAAUGUUAUAUACAAGUAUACUUAUUUGUUAGUUGAAUUUAUUUGUUGGUUAUAUUUGAUGGAAUAAAAAAUUUCAAGAUACGUAUACAAUUUCGGUUGAACCUCUUCUUCCAAAAAGUACAUGAGAUAUACCAAAACAUGUGUUGGAAGAAAUAAUGUUGUCACAAGAUUCGAAGAAAUCACCGAAAAGGCGAAGUUACAAUAGAAAGAAAGGAACCAUUGUAUAUACAAAAUCACCAUCAAGAAAAAAACUCAAUGUAUUAAUAAAUUAUUUCAUUUUUCGCAUAGUCGAUAAAAACAACAAACAAAAAAAGUUAAACAAAUAAGUUGGUUUGAAAAUCUUUUAAACCGACAAUACAUAUAAAAAAUUAUAGAGAAAAAUAUAAAAUUUGUAGUUUAAAUAAGAGUUUGAUUGAUUUCUUGAGCGUAAUACAUAACGAAAAUGAAAGAAAGAGAUAGAUGAGAAGAAAGAGAAGAGAGAGGGAGGGAGAGAGAGCUUUGGAAUAAGUUUUACAAAAUUAAAUAAAUUAAUAUAGGAGUAGGAAAAGUCUCUAUUUGCCUAAAAUAACUCCCAAAAAAAUAAACCAACAUCAUCCAUCCGGAAAUUUUGCCCAGUAACAAAACUUUAAUUUAUAAUAUUUUAUAAAUAAAACCUAGAUUUUGUAAAUAAAAAAAGUAUAUUUAUAUAUUGUAAUUUAAGGUCUUAAAUAGUACAAGUAUGUGAUUUUUUUCUAUAAAAAGGACAAAAUAAAUAAUUUUAGUAGCUUAUGUAAUUUUAUCUUGUUAUAUUAUAAAAAAGACUAUUUAAAUUUUCAUCUUAUCGGUGAAGUUUCAGUUUUUCAUCCUCCCUCAUUUUUCCUUCCCCACACCAAAAUUUAGUAAUUUGGCAUUAAUAAUAAAGCCAUACCUAUUGUGUCUUCAAAACAAUGAAUGAAUUCAAAAAUUUAAUAGUUAAAAUUAAAUAUAAAUACCUGAAAAACCAACAUCUAUAUCUAUCUAUAUCUAUAAUCUAUAUCUAUCUAUAAUAUAUUAAAAGAGGGAAGAUCCCUAGAAAAGUGAUUUGAACUUUUUGCCCAUCAUUAAAAGUCUCCGCUUUAGAUAAAAUCGUGUUUUCAGUUUUUUUACUUAAAUUAUUAAAAUAUUACUAACUAUAAUACAUAUAUUCAAAAUUAAAUAGAGAAAGUUUUCUUAUUAUAAUUAAAUUUCUAAAUUUGUGGUAAUUUUUAUUUAAGAUUUUUUUUCUUCUUAAACUCUCUAAUAUAUCCAAAAAAUUUGGCUCCUUCAUCGUAGUAGCAAAUUAUAUUAUAGUUAAAUUUUUACAUUUAUGGUAAAUAAGACCCUUCAUCGUAUGAUCAAAUAGGAUUCCUUAUAAGAUUUGUAAUCCAUAAGAUUUUUAGGAGUCUUUAUUAUUUCUUUUUUAGUAGAAGAUACAUCACAAAAACAUAUGCUCUUCUUUGUCUCGCGUUGUUUCGUUCUUAGUUAAUUUUUCUCAUCAAUAAUUCAUGUUUGAUCGUUUUAUAAAGUCAUUAGAUAUUCUUAUCUUCUCCAAAUAAUAUAUGGACAUAUAUAUGAUUUAUUAUUGCUCUUUUAAUAUUCUUGAGCAAGUGAAGGAAGAUUCAUGUGUAGUGCGUGAAUGAGGCUUUGUGUUGAUUAACAAAGAAUUUGAAGGUAUGUGUACACGACCCAUGCAACACUAUUUUUUUUGGAGAAGAAGACGGAAAAUGCCAACAACGAAAAAAAGAAAAUAUAAAGCUUUUUGAUUGUUCAAGACUAUGCAACUUGAUUCCCUCAUUCUAACUGUUGUUUGGGUUUUCACACAAACACAAUAUCCGUCAAUGAUGACAACUCCGACGGCCGACGAUAGUAGCUUCGAAGAGGACCAGUUUCGUGUUGUGUCAAAGAUAUUAUUAUAGCUUCAUGCCUUCUUGACAACAUACCUCAAAUUAUAAAGGUUUCAAUCUCUUUUCGUUUGCUCUACUCACAAUUAUAAAGGUUUCGGACCGUUUAGUGCUAUAAAUUGUGGUAAGUGAAUGAUUGAAAUAUUUCUUCCUAAAUUUUUGCGAGUAGCAACUUUGUAAGUCAGUUCGAUUUUCCUUUAAGUAAUAUCUGAAGGAAAACGUGAUUGGCACGUUCAUAGUAUUUCUCAUAUGGAAUUGAAUAGGAUAAAUAAUAUAGCUUGCCGUUAUUAAUUUGGAGAUAAGCAUAGUUGUGUAUUUUAAUUGUAGAUAAAAAAGUUGAUUUAUAUCUUAAACUGAUUGAGGUAUUUUAAUUAUUAAGAAUUCAAAAUAUUUAAAAGAUAUAUGAUAAAAUUAUAAUAAAAAAUAAAUUUAUUUGUUUUGAAAUUUGAAAAUGGAGAGAAUAUUUCUAAUAUUGCACCUCUUUGUUUCUUCUUAGUGACAACUAUGACUGCAUCUUACACAAUCACUUAUAGUGAUGUUCAUCCUAAAAGGUUAAGUUUUAUGUUGUUAUUUUUUUCAAGUACUAAUGCCUCUCUCUUUUCUUGAUCACGUUGCAAUGAAAUUAUGAACCUUAAGUUAUAUUAAAUAAAUUGAUAGAUAUGAUUGAGUAGCAUACAAAGAUGUUAGAGGAGAUACAAUAAUAUAAUAUAUUGACGAAAUAAGUUAACAACUCUUUAAAUUUGUUGAUAAAUUUUAUUUAAACAUUCGAAUUAUGAUUUGUUUCAAUAGAGCACGUGAACACUUAAUAAACUGUUUAUAUUGCUACUUCUUAAUGUGUUCUAACUUAAACAUUUAAGAGACAUGUGAAGAUAAGUGAUACAAGUAUGAUCACGUAAAGGGACUUAUGAGGGCGUAUGUUGGACCCGAGACUUGGUGUGUGCAAAUGAAGUGCAAAGGAGGGCCUAAAAAGAUUCCAAAACAGCCCACAUUCUACACACCAAGGGCGCCUAAAGUGAAGCAAUUGACUAUGAGGUCUUUUGGACAUUUCACACUAUUUUUGUAACCUACUAUAAAUAGAAUAUGUUAGGUCAUUUACUACUUAGUUUUUGAAGAUUAUGGAAAGUUGUAAUAUUGAAACACUCUCUCUUGUGAGAAAGGCCUCUUGGACGAAACAAUGUAACUAGGGUUUUCAACUUGAGUGUGGAAUCACUCGUAUUGGAUUCAAGCUUGGAAACAUUAGAUGCUUGGGAGAUCGAGGUCCCUCUUGUACCAACGUAAGAGAUAGGUGAAUCUUUGUGAGUAGUGUUAAGAGUCCAAGAGUGGAAUAUGUUCUUGGAUUCUUAAAUUUAUUCCUUCAUGUAGUCUAUUUAUCUAUCUUUUUGUUCAUUGUAAUCUUGUAACCGUUGUGUGUCUUGCUUGUGGAACCCUUGAGUAUUGUUAUAAUAUAGUUAUUGUUCUUCGUAUCCUUCAUCUCGUGUUGAUAAUAUUAGUUUGUGGUGGUUGGUUAGGUGUUGAAACACACCCCUAUCUCGUGUAUUGUUGUUCUUGUUUGUGAAUCCGAGUGUGGUCAUCAAAAGGGUCCUCGACUCUUUGAGCAUGUGGACUAAUUUUGCUGUUUGUUUCAUGCUCCCUUGUCUUUCUUGUAUCAAUAAGUAAAAAGAUAACUUUUCAAAAUCCAAAGUGUGUAAUAGGAAUACUUUAAGUUAAUUCUUUCCAUAGCAUAUUAUUUUACAUUAUAAUAGUAAAAAUAUUAAUUUGUUUUCCUCGAUCCAACACUUUCUAACAACAUAUUAGUUGCUUCAUAUGUCAUUUCGAGAAAGUUUUAAAAGCUUUUUUCUUUUUGGAUUGCUCUAUAGCUUUGAUAGUUUUUCUUAGUUUAGAUUAAAGUGGUUCUUAAUAUUUUUAUAUGAUUUUCUAUGAAUAUAUUAAUUUUCUAUUUAAAUGUUUUUUGUAUUUCAUAAAAUUAUCAAUUUAUUUAACUUAUUAAUCAAGACAUAAUUUCUUUAUAUUAUCAAAGUGAUUUUAUAAAAGUGAACACAUUAAAGCGAGGUGCACGCGUAGGGCGCGUAUCCUAAACUAGUAAUAUAAAUUGAGCUAGACAUCAGUGAAUUAUUUAUUCAAACUCCACAAACUCAAUUUUGAGACUUUUCAUUUUUAAUAUAGUAUUAGUUUAACCACAUGUGUGUCUCACACGUGUAACCUUAGAUUAUUUAAAAUUAAAAGUUAAUAAUUGAAUGGUGAAAAAAAUAAUUGAGUCCCGAAACAGGAUUGACACUUUACAACAAAAACAUCUUCUAAGCAUAGUUGGAUUCCAACGAUGUACCUGCAAAUGAUAGGCGACAUUUCAAGAGUUGAAUGGAAAAGUCUUAUGUUCUAUAAUAUUGCAAGACCCAAAGCCAUCUUUAUCAUGUGGCUUUAUCUGUAGGAUAGGCUUCUAAGUGUUUGAUCGUUUAAUCAGCUGGGGUAUGUCUGUGCACCCAAUAUGUGUGAUGUGUGGUAAUUUAACAGAAUCAAGAGACCACUUCUUUUUUGGAUGUAUCUUUGCUGCCAAGCGAUUAUGCGCAUAUCUGAUUAAGUGGAUGAAGAUCCCUGUCCACCCUACUAGUUCAUGGAAUCAACAUCAGCAGUGGCUUUUUCAAAGAAACGAAGGGAGAUCCAAGCAGACUAGAACGCUAAGGAUGAUAUAUGUUGAGUAUGUACUUGCCAUUUGGGGAGAACGAAACAACAACACUUUUGAGAACCUGGUGAAACAAUGGGAACCAAUUGGCAGAGAAAUCACGUACAUAUGUAACAUGAGGGCGGAAGAAAAUAUGAAGAUAUUGAUGCAAAGCCUCUUGUUGCCAGCUAAAUGUGUCUAGUUGUUACUCCAUAUUCUACUCUUCAACUCUUCAUGUAAUAGAAAGAAGUAUAAUGGUUGUGGUCGUAUAAAGCGAGACUAAUUUUGCAUAGCAGAUUGUGUUAGUCUGGCUAGUUUUGUAAUGCAUUCUUGAUAGUUAAUAAAGUUGUUAGUUACAAAAAAUAGCUUGCAAGACAUAAGAUAAUUGGUAAUAUCUUAUUAUGAGAACUUCAAUCAGUAAACUGUAUUUCAAAACAAACAAGCAACAGAGUACAGACAAUGAAAAACUAGCUCCAAUAUAUGACACUGCAGAGUUCCACUACUAUACAUGCCAUUCCUUCUAAACUUGUCAAUCAAAAUAUAAAGAAAAAAAAAAGCUUGCUAUUUCUUCUGAUUCCCUUAUUCUUCCUUAAUUAGUUAUUGUAUCAUCAGUUGCAUCUGACACUGUAUAAGGUCUAAGAUGAAUAUAUCUAAAUCAUCUGAAUUUUUUCCUUUAACUUUGACAACUAGAUGCGUGCAAAUUGACAAUUGAUGAGUGCCAAAGACACCAAUUGAUGAAUUUCAAACUGGAACGGGUAUCUUACCUUAUAACAAAGAAAUAGCAAGCCAAAAGUUCAAUUUCUAGCUCGAAUCACCGUCCUACCAACUUCCCCAAAGAAUUUGCACUACCAAAAAGAGGUUAUACAACUUCGCCAAACAAUUGCCAUCUCUAAAUCCAAUAAAUUCAAGGAACUUUGAAGCAACUUGAGUUUUUACAACCCAGACCAACCUCGGUACUACUUGAUUUGUGGAUAAAUCAAUCUCAAUGUCAUUCACUUCCUCAUUGAGAAUGGUUGCGGAAUCAAAGAUUUUGGUUGGCUUAGGAGCCUCUUCUUGAUCACAACAGAAUCUUUCUUGACCCAUUUAUCAUCUUACAAAACAUAUCCCAUGCUACCAAAGGAAUCAUCACUAUUCUUAUACACUCAAAUAUUAGCAUAAAAUACGAACAAGUUAUUCAUAGACCUCUAUUACAUAAAGUUUCAAUAGUAGACCAAGGUGUUGAGCCUAGAGAAAGGUACUUACCAGACAAUGGCUAUCCUUGAGUUGUCCCAGAUUGAUGAUUCGACCACCAACUUGUGAGCAUUUCUUAAGAGCAGGGUAUCUAUUCUUCUAUUCUACACUCUAGAAUAGGUGUAGAUCAACGAAAUUGAAAUCUGAGUCGUCACAAACUUCAUAUUUUUGGGAGAAGGGUUUUUGAUAGAUGGGUUUUUUGAGGGUUUUGGAGUUGCAUUUUGGGAUUCUUCUCAAUCGAAGCCCUACAAGACCUAGAGAGAGUGAGAGGAGAAAAUGAUUAUUGCGGCGGUAGUUGAAACGCUGUUCCCGAUGGUGGUCUCGUCGGUGACAAGCGGCCGUGGCAGCUACAUUUGAUUGUCCGCCGCCGGCGAUCAGUUCAUGGGGGGAGCGAGAAAGAGAGAGAAAGUGAAAGUGUAGGGAUUAGGGUUUUCUUUUUGGUUUAAAAGGAAAGAGGAAUAGGGUUUGA
This 13071-nucleotide long non-coding RNA is filed under the name Capsicum annuum. RNAcentral describes it as "long non-coding RNA (CANN_LNC011973)". Lineage: Eukaryota; Viridiplantae; Streptophyta; Magnoliopsida; Solanales; Solanaceae. The record is from RNAcentral.